AAUCGAUAUAAUGGAAGCGAAUGAAGUCGACGUAUCUAGCACGUAUUCAGCUUAUCAUCCAAUAGAAUUGACUUUUUUGGGUGUUUCGUUGUAGAUCACCUAUUUGGGUUAUUGUUUUACGGAUGAUUUGUGCAUUUGCGUGUGGAGUGCGAUGAAUUGAUUAAUGUUGUCGGUGGAAGUUGUUCGUAGAGGGCAGUUGAAUUUCAUUUCGAUUGUAACCUUGAACAUUUAUGGAUACCUGAUUAAUGUUGAUUGAUUUUGGAGUGUUGGCCCGUCGGUCUUGAUUUCGAUUAAUUUCGAGUUUUUUAAUGGACGCAUGCGUACGUUUUAAAAUUUAAUUUUAAUUGUUAAAUUUAAGGCGACUACACUCGAUUCAUCGUAUAGUCGAUCACUCAUUCGACCCGUCUUGAAACACGGACCAAGGAGUUCAUAAUACACGCGAGUCAUUGAGUGUUUUUAAAGCUCAAAGGCAUAAUGAAAGUGAAACUACGAACAGUUGAAAUAUGAUUAGUUUUUUUUUUAUUGUUUUCAUUGAAAAAACAAUAAGAAAACUAAGCAAUGUUGCCCCAUUCCGUGAACUUGUUCUGGUGUGGAGGUUGAGCGUGUGCAAUGAGACCCGAAAGAUGGUGAACUAUGCCUGAACAGGACGAAGCCAGAGGAAACUCUGGUGGAAGUCCGAAGCGGUUCUGACGUGCAAAUCGAUCGUAUGAUUUUGGUAUAGGGGCGAAAGAC
RNAcentral lists this ribosomal RNA (732 nucleotides) under Ektaphelenchoides caspiensis. RNAcentral describes it as "eukaryotic LSU rRNA". It matches the Rfam family "Eukaryotic large subunit ribosomal RNA", at positions 403 to 931 of the family's 3401-position model. The record is from RNAcentral. Lineage: Eukaryota; Metazoa; Nematoda; Chromadorea; Rhabditida; Aphelenchoididae.